GGGGUUGUAGCUCAGUGGUAGAGCGCUUGUCUCACAUGUGUGAGACCUUGGGUUCAACCCCCAGCACCA
Molecule: transfer RNA, 69 nt
Filed under: Ictidomys tridecemlineatus (thirteen-lined ground squirrel)
Lineage: Eukaryota; Metazoa; Chordata; Mammalia; Rodentia; Sciuridae
Also listed under: 1 other name
Description: Spermophilus tridecemlineatus (thirteen-lined ground squirrel) tRNA
Rfam family: tRNA
About the family: Transfer RNA (tRNA) molecules are approximately 80 nucleotides in length. Their secondary structure includes four short double-helical elements and three loops (D, anti-codon, and T loops).
Source: Rfam by way of RNAcentral